RNAcentral lists this ribosomal RNA (492 nucleotides) under uncultured haloarchaeon. RNAcentral describes it as "bacterial SSU rRNA". It matches the Rfam family "Archaeal small subunit ribosomal RNA", at positions 331 to 822 of the family's 1478-position model. The record is from RNAcentral. Lineage: Archaea; Methanobacteriati; Methanobacteriota; Halobacteria; Halobacteriales; Halobacteriaceae.
UGCAGCAGGCGCGAAACCUUUACACUGCACGCCAGUGCGAUAAGGGGAUCCCAAGUGCGUAGGCAUAGAGCCUACGCUUUUGUCCACCCUAGGGUGGUGGACGAAUAAGGGCUGGGCAAGACCGGUGCCAGCCGCCGCGGUAAUACCGGCAGCCCGAGUGAUGGCCGAUCUUAUUGGGCCUAAAGCGUCCGUAGCUGGCCGCACAAGUCCAUCGGGAAAUCCACCUGCUCAACAGGUGGGCGUCCGGUGGAAACUGUGUGGCUUGGGACCGGAAGGCGCGACGGGUACGUCCGGGGUAGGAGUGAAAUCCCGUAAUCCUGGACGGACCGCCGAUGGCGAAAGCACGUCGCGAAAACGGAUCCGACAGUGAGGGACGAAAGCUAGGGUCUCGAACCGGAUUAGAUACCCGGGUAGUCCUAGCCGUAAACACUGCCUGCUAGGUGUGGCACCCACUACGAGUGGGUGCUGUGCCGUAGGGAAGCCGCUAAGCAG